AGCAGCAUGGCGCAGAUGGAAGCGCGCGGGGCCCAUAGCUUAUGUAAGCUUGGUACCCCGAGGUCACUCGAUCGAAACGAGUUGCUGCUA
This is a non-coding RNA of Mycena galopus ATCC 62051, 90 nucleotides long. The record is from the annotation of a GenBank genome assembly. Lineage: Eukaryota; Fungi; Basidiomycota; Agaricomycetes; Agaricales; Mycenaceae.